RNAcentral lists this unclassified non-coding RNA (380 nucleotides) under uncultured Gemmatimonadaceae bacterium. RNAcentral's name for it is "contains 16S-23S intergenic spacer region". Lineage: Bacteria; Pseudomonadati; Gemmatimonadota; Gemmatimonadia; Gemmatimonadales; Gemmatimonadaceae. The record is from RNAcentral.
UCCGGUUUAGCACCGGCAGUCUUUCCAGAGUCCCCGGCUUUACCCGCUGGCAACUGAAAACGGGGGUUGCGCUCGUUGCGGGACUUAACCCAACAUCUCACGACACGAGCUGACGACAGCCAUGCAGCACCUGUGCACGGGCUCCGAAGAGGGGCCUCCGUUUCUGGAGGCUUUCCCGUGUAUGUCAAGCCUAGGUAAGGUUCUUCGCGUUGCGUCGAAUUAAACCACAUGCUCCACCGCUUGUGCGGGCCCCCGUCAAUUCCUUUGAGUUUCAGCCUUGCGGCCGUACUCCCCAGGCGGGGCACUUAAUGCGUUAGCGGCGGCACUCAGGGGGUCGCUCCCCCAAGCACCUAGUGCCCAUCGUUUACGGCGUGGACUAC